This 3139-nucleotide long non-coding RNA is filed under the name Sus scrofa (pig). RNAcentral's name for it is "lncRNA (ENSSSCG00055020761.1)". The record is from RNAcentral. Lineage: Eukaryota; Metazoa; Chordata; Mammalia; Artiodactyla; Suidae.
GGCUCCCCAGCAGCUAAAAGCUGCUUUUCCCACAAAAUCAGGCCAGACUCCAGAUGAGGCCAGAUGGUUGCACAAGGUCUCACAGAGCCCAGACCUAGGCUCCAAGCCUGGGAAGUGCCCAUCAUCACACGUGUGUGGGCGUGUCUGCGAACGUACUGCCCACAAUCAGACCAUGUACUUUGGAAAGAUCUGAGGCGUUCUGAAGUGUUUUCUCUCCAACUCCACGCUUUGAAAAUUAUUCCUUUGAAUCUCUGAUUUUUUUUUUUUUUUUUUUUUGCCACUCUUGUGGCAUGUGGAAGUUUCUGGGCCCGGGACUGAAACCAAGCCACAGUAGUGACAAUGCCAGAUCCUUAACCACUAGACCACCGGGGAACUCCUAGACGUCUGAAUAUUAAAUAUCACCUAAAACACAUGUUUUGUUUCUGAUCACAUGUAUUUUAUUAGUGCUUGUCAAAAUACAGUGGGGGAUUUUUGGGGGUUUUUUGGUUUUUUUUUUUUUUUUUUUUGUCUUUUCUAGGGCCGCACCCGUGACAUAUGGAGGUUCCCAGGCUAGGGGUCUAAUCGGAACUGUAGCCACUGGCCUCUACCUGGAAGAGUACCACCGGGGUUACCCCUGGUCUAAGAUGGGUAAGUUGGGGCAGAGGGGGGCAGGACAUAGCGGCAGAUUGCUGCUGGCCCCUGAGGGGUUCUGGGCCUUAUCUCCCAGACUGGGCUUUGGGAUUCAGCAAUUUAUGAUCUGCUAUGGUGUGAAGCAGAGAUGGGCGGGGAGAUGGAGGAGCCUCAGAACAACACCCACGCCAGAAACUAUGGGAAAUGGUCAGCUAGGCACCUCCCUCCCCCUUCCUCCCACCCAGGGGUGGCCUGGCCGAACCGCACCCAGGCAGGGCCCAGUAAACACGGAUCGCAUCAUCAUAGCACAGACGCCAGGGGCAGGCACAGGAGUGGAGGAGGGGACCAGGAACCGGAGCAGAGUGUGCGAGCAGGGCCUCGUGUCUCCUCCCGCAAGGGAUCUUCACGAGUCUUGCUUCUCAGACACGCAUCAGCACCGCCUGGGAGCUGGUAGGAACUAGAGAAUCCCAAGCCCCACACAGACCUCCUCCAUCAGAAUCUGCAAUUCUGCAGGGUAACAAGAUCUUCCAGAAAUUUGCAUACAUGGGAAGGUUUGAGAGGCACACACUUCUAGAGAGUAGAAUAACCAGAGGGCCAGACCAGGAGGUGUGGGAAGGAGGAGGGGAGCCAGGAGGCAGGUUUGGAUGCAUACAGUGGGCUCAUCUAAGGAUUGCUCUUACGAGUGGCAAUCUCCCUGGGUCACUGAGUCUGAGUAAUAAAGCUCUCUUCUAUGUGGCAGACAAUGGUUUCUCAAUCGUUUAUAUGCAUUAACUAAUUUAGCCUUCACUACAGCCCUAGAGAGUGGUACUAUUCGGAUCAUUGUGUCCAUACUGCAGGUACAAACACUGAGGCCCAAGGAGGUUGAGAUUAUUCCAGAAUCUUCAGCAGGUACACACAUAUGGCUGUACCUGGUGUUUAGGGCAGGGUCUGUUCUGAUUGGUCCCUGCCUGUCCUACUGGUUAUUCAAUGUUUUGAACGUUGCUCUGGUUACACAGCUGGAUGGAGGAGGCAGGAUCCAAACCAGUCCACUGGGCUGGAGCCGCACUCCAAAUCACGAUCUUUUAUCCGUCUAGCGCCAUCGCCACCUAGAAACAGCACGCCUCAGGGACAAGCAAUGUGUGUCGAAGUGCUUCGUAAGCUGGGCAGCGCAGUAUAAAUGCCAAAGGGAUUCCUCCGCAGCAGAAGUGAAAGAAGCCUGUGAAAAUAGGAGAAGCUGGGCUGUGUGAGGGCAGAGGAGAGUCUGCUGCGGAGAAACAGGAUUCUCUGUGCUUGCUCAAGGGAGUAACUGAGGCAAGAAGGAAAAACUUCCCCGAGGAGAGCUCCAGGAUCCGCGCAGGAAGGCUGGACUCGCCAGAGCCCAGCAGGCGCUAAACAGAUUAGCCCAGGCGUGUCCUCACAGACGGACUGCGCCCUCCUGAUAUCACCCACCAGGGGGCGCUGCUCCCCUGCCUUCGUCCCACUGGACCCCACCUGCUCUCGGGAAUCUAGGACUUGGAAGGAGUCCUAGUGAGCAAGCACCAGGGACUUUGACAAGUGGAAAAGGAGGGAAGGCAGGAUGGAAUGGGGGCUUAUACCACUUUCAAUCCCCAAAACACCCCUACGGAGGAGCUCUUGUGCCUACAGAUGAGCAGCAUCUUUGAGGCCCAAAGAUGCUGGGUAAGAUCCCCCAAACCAGGAAAUUAGAGAGAAGCAAGGCUAGGUCAUUUGAUUCCAACCUCACUUGCCAAGGGGACUGCAAGUACAUGGCAGCCCGUCUGACCCCGUCCUGUUGCUGGUGUACCUGCUUCUCUGGACCCCGUUUUCUGAGUGGAGGCUAAAGCCCCUGCGGCAACUGUACUCCCACAACAGUUUCAACAGCCAGGGUUCAUAAAUGUAGCCCUCUUCUUGAACUUGAAACUUUUUGAAGUUGUGGGCUUCUGCUUCAUUGUGUCUGGCUUUCAGGAAUCCCACACCUGCCACCCCAACCCAACAGCCUCCCCAUUCAGGCAAAACCUGGGGUCUCUUCUGCUCCAGAAUCUGGCCCUGGGCUCCCAGAACCAGGUCCUCGUCUGCAUUUCCAUUGGAGCCUGUGGCUGGGGCCAAACCAGGCACCUAAAGUUUUUUUCUCUGCUCCUACCAACUCCUUUUAUGGCCUCUGGGGCCAGUUCCUUCUUCAUAAUAAGUCAUAACUGGAAAAGGCCUCUGAAGUCACUGAGUCCAACUUGCGCCAACACUUUCCUUUUCUAAAGAAAGAAAAAAAAAAAUGUCCUUACGCCUCCCGGUCUCCAGGCAGGUUCCAAAGACAAAGACAGCGCGGCAGCGUCCUGCGUGAGAAGGAAACUCCAGCCCGGGGAUGGGACCUGGGCACGCACCUGUAAAGUGGGGGUGGGGGGACCCUAACCUCUGUUUCUUCUAAGACCCUAGCCCCCAGCUCCUAGGGUUCUGCCACUAGCCGCGGGGACCAGCUAACGAGCCUCUAAUUCGGCCCCCCUCGGUAGGACACUUUCCUCGCCUCCGUGCUGGGAGCUGGGGGCAGCUCGCGUGUCUAGCC